Molecule: long non-coding RNA, 299 nt
Organism: Nematolebias whitei (Rio pearlfish)
Lineage: Eukaryota; Metazoa; Chordata; Actinopteri; Cyprinodontiformes; Rivulidae
Exons: 3
Source: RefSeq, a predicted model, not a curated record
CAGCCGCUCCAAGAAACUGUUUUCAGUUCCUGAGUUUGGGUCGCGAGCCGGACACAAGCUGAAGGGAUGAUGAUAAUCCGCCACACUGACCACGCUGAGGCUGACCCCGCCCGCCCUGCUGACAUCUGCACUUUAAAGCUCCUCAGGGACAGAAAUGGACAGAUGUCAUCGGGUCAUCCAUCAUGGAGGCCGGCCGCGUCUUGAACGGAGAUGGAACCGCUCGCAGGCGAAACGAAGCCGAUCGCGUCAUCAGGAGAGCGUCACCGCGGCACAACGGGCGAGAUAAGGACACAGUCCAC